RNAcentral lists this long non-coding RNA (445 nucleotides) under Anas platyrhynchos platyrhynchos (common mallard). Its description in RNAcentral is "lncRNA (ENSAPLG00000025151.1)". Lineage: Eukaryota; Metazoa; Chordata; Aves; Anseriformes; Anatidae. The record is from RNAcentral.
CGCCGGAGGAAGCGGGGGAGGGGCUGGGGGGGGGGGGGGCGGCGCCCCCAGCGGGGUCUGGCCCCCCCCCCCAAAAAAAAUCCCCGUCCCCCCCGUGACACCCACGGGGACACCAAAAGGGGACGUGGGGUGGCCUCGGGCACCUGGUUCCCCCCCCGAGGGGACAGGGACAGGGGACAGGGGGCAGGGGGCAGGGGACAGGUGGCCCCCAGGUGUCCCCCCCCGGUUAUGGGGACAGCAGUGGCACCGGGCAUGGGCAGGUGGCACCAGCAGGGGUUGGGGACAUGGGGACAUGGGUGCCACCACCAGGAAUGGGGACAUGGGUGCCACCACCAUGGGGGUUGUGGACAUGGGGACAUGGGUGCCACCACCAUGAACUGGGGACACGGGUGCCACCACCAUGGGGACACGGGGACAGGUGCCACCACCAGGAAUGGGGACAUGG